RNAcentral lists this ribosomal RNA (575 nucleotides) under uncultured archaeon. RNAcentral's name for it is "bacterial SSU rRNA". It matches the Rfam family "Archaeal small subunit ribosomal RNA", at positions 729 to 1298 of the family's 1478-position model. The record is from RNAcentral.
UUAAAUUCCCGGGUAUUCCUGGCUNUAAAAGAUGCGGNUUAGGUNUCGGGCGAUNUUCCAAGCNUCGCCCGGUGCCCGCAGGGAAAGCCGUUAAGCCCCCCCGCCUGGGGAGUACGGCCGCAAGGCUGAAACUUAAAGGAAUUGGCGGGGGAGCACUACAAGGGGUGGAGCGUGCGGUUUAAUUGGAUUCAACGCCGGGAACCUCACCGGGGGCGACGGCAGGAUGAAGGCCAGGCUGAAGGUCUUGCCGGACACGCCGAGAGGAGGUGCAUGGCCGCCGUCAGCUCGUACCGUGAGGCGUCCACUUAAGUGUGGUAACGAGCGAGACCCGCGCCCCCAGUUGCCAGUCCUCCCCGCUGGGGAGGAGGCACUCUGGGGGGACCGCCGGCGAUAAGCCGGAGGAAGGAGCGGGCGACGGUAGGUCAGUAUGCCCCGAAACCCCCGGGCUACACGCGCGCUACAAUGGGCGGGACAAUGGGAUCCGACCCCGAAAGGGGAAGGUAAUCCCCUAAACCCGGUCUAACCUGGGAUCGAGGGCUGCAACUCNNCCUCGUGAACCUGGAAUCCCUAGUACC